RNAcentral lists this long non-coding RNA (1351 nucleotides) under Vigna radiata. Its description in RNAcentral is "long non-coding RNA (VRAD_LNC012456)". The record is from RNAcentral. Lineage: Eukaryota; Viridiplantae; Streptophyta; Magnoliopsida; Fabales; Fabaceae.
GAAUAAAGAGUUACAUUUACGUAUGGUUAGUGUUAAUAUUGACAUGUUUAAAAUUAUGAAAUAAAAAAAAUAAAUGAUCAAGCUUUCUAUUAUAAAAUAGAGUAUAAGCAACAUUUUUUAUAUUAAAAAUAAACAUAUUUAAUGGUAACCAUUCAUGCAAAAUCAUCAAUGAAUUCUCUUAAGGAACAUUUGAAUCCCUUGCUAAUAUUGGAAAUUUAAAAAAAAAAAUUGGAAGAUUUGAGUGAUAAUGAUAAACAAGAACUUACCUAGAAAGAAUUGAUUUAAGUUAGGAACAUUAGAGUGAAGAAAAAAAUCAAAAAAAACAAAAGAUAUAGAAGUUGGGUUUGUGGUGUGUGAAGGAGGAAAAGGAAGGAGAUGGAGGGGUGGUGUAAGGAGAAGGAGGAGGAAGGAGAUGGAAGAGAAGGGUAGAGAGAAAGAGGGAGUAGUUGAAGGAUGAAAAAACUUUAAAAUAAAAAAUUCAAGAUAUUACCAUAUAACACCACCAAAUAAACAUUAAUUUCAAUUUAACACAAGGGCCAACAUUAUGCUAUUUUAUACAAAUUUAAAAUUUAAUUGAGUAAAAAAAAUUGAAUAUUUGCCUUUAAUAUAAGGAUUAAAAUAUUACUUAAUCCAAUUUUUUAGACAACUUAUCAAUAGAUUCGUUAAUAAAAUGAGCGCCAAAAUUUUCAUCAACUCUGAUGAAAUUCUUUUAUAAAUUAAGUAGAGAUGGAUAAGAAUAAGAGAAGAGGAAAAAUAAAUAGGAGGAGAGGAGAAAAGGGAGAAGGAGUUGAAGGCAAUGGUGAUGGAGGAGGGGCGACGACGAUGUAACAAGAAGAUAAUGAUGGAGGUCACGAUGACACCAACGAAGGUGGAGGCAAAGGAGGAAAAAGAGAAAGAUAAGAAAGAAGUGGAGAAGGAGAAGGACGAAUUAGUGGUUGCAGAUACGGCGAUACAAACAAUAACAAAGGAGGAGGGUGAGAGAGGGAAGAAGAAGAAGAAAAGAAUACAAAAAGAGGAGAGAGGAUGAAAAAAAAAACUUAAUCACGGGUUUUUGUACCAUAGUAGGCAAAACUGAGGGAGAUAUUACGAGAAUAGGCAAAAAACAUUUUAAUUACGAAAAUAGGGAAGUCGUGGGGAGUUUAGACGACUUUUAAUGAAGAAGUCGUGUCCCCCCUGCACGACUUCACACUAUUUAUUUGACCAGUGUUGAAGUCGUGCACCCCAAAAACGACUUUAAGGCAUGGCAAUCGAUUACCAUAGACUUGUAAUCGAUUACCAAGCCAUUUCUGACAAAAAAUAAAAAUAAAAACAAAUGAAGUCGUAUGGGGGUUAACGACUUUUCUUAUUAAAG